RNAcentral lists this ribosomal RNA (460 nucleotides) under uncultured bacterium. RNAcentral describes it as "partial 16S ribosomal RNA". It matches the Rfam family "Bacterial small subunit ribosomal RNA", at positions 338 to 795 of the family's 1533-position model. The record is from RNAcentral.
CCUACGGGAGACAGCAGUGAGGAAUAUUGGUCAAUGGACGAGAGCCUGAACCAGCCAAGUAGCGUGAAGGAUGACUGCCCUAGGGGUUGUAAACUUCUUUUAUAAAGGAAUAAAACGAGGCACGGGUGCCUUUUUGCAUGUUCUUUAUGAAUAAGGAUCGGCUAACACCCGGCCAGCAGCCGCGGUAAUACGGAGGAUCCGAUCGUUAUCCGGAUGUAAUGGGUGUAAAGGGAGCGUAGAUGGGUUGUUAAGUCAGUUGUGAAAGUUUGCGGCUCAACCGUAAAAUUGCAAUUGAUACUGGCAGGCUUGAGUGCAGUAGAGGUAAGCGGAAUUCGUGGUGUAGCGGUGAAAUGCUUAGAUAUCACGAAGAACCCCGAUUGCGAAGGCAGCUUACUAAACUGUGACUGACGUUGAUGCUCGAAAGUGUGGGGAUCAAACAGGAUUAGAUACCCCAGUAGUC